UACGGGGGGGGCAAGCGUUGUUCGGAAUUACUGGGCGUAAAGGGCUCGUAGGCGGCCAACUAAGUCAGACGUGAAAUCCCUCGGCUUAACCGGGGAACUGCAUCUGAUACUGGAUGACUAGAGGACCGGAGAGGAUAGUGGAAUUCCCAGUGUAGUGGUGAAAUACGUAGAGAUUGGGAAGAACACCAGUGGCGAAGGCGGCUAUCUGGACGGUUUCUGACGCUAAGACGCGAAAGCGUGGGGAGCAAACAGG
This 253-nucleotide ribosomal RNA is filed under the name uncultured bacterium. Its description in RNAcentral is "partial 16S ribosomal RNA". It matches the Rfam family "Bacterial small subunit ribosomal RNA", at positions 524 to 776 of the family's 1533-position model. The record is from RNAcentral.